UUUUUUGUUUUUUUCUUUUUUCAGUCUUUUUAGGGCCCCACCUGCAGCAUAUGGAGGUUCCCAGGCUAGGGGUCAAUUUGUAGCUGCAGCUGCCAGCCAAUACCACAGCCACAGCAACUGUGGGACCCAAGCCGAGUCUUUGACCUACACCACAGCUCACGGCAACACCAGAUCCCUGACCCACUGAGCGAGGCCAGGAAUCAAAUCUGUGUCCUCGUGGAUGCUAGUCAGAUUCGUUAACCACUGAGCCACGAUGGGAACUCCCAAAAGACAUGGUUUUGUUUUUUGUUUUUUUUUUUCUGUUUCUUUUUCUUUUUUUUUAGGGCUGCACCCAUGGCAUAUGGAAUUUCCCAGGCUAGGGGUCAAAUUGGAGCUGUAGCCACCAGCCUACCCCACAGCCACAGCAAUGCAGGAUCUGAGUCGUGUCUGCCAUCUACACCACAGCUCACGGCAACGCCGGAUCCUUAACCCACUGAGCAAGAUCAGGGAUCGAACCUGCAUCCUCAUGGAUGCUAGUCAGAUUUGUUAACCACUGAGCCACAAUAGGAACUCCCAAAACACACAGGUUUUAGGGGUUUAAAAAAAUGAUCCUGUCCCCUCAAAAGGCUCCCAUUCACCCCAGGACACGUUCCAGCACAAACACAGCAAAGUCAACGUCAGAGAAACCACCUUCAAACACUAAUGAAGCCAGUAGGCAAGCUGAGCGUUAGAGCCCCCAACUAGCUGGCGAGACUGGCCAUGCCUAAAGGAGAAAUGGAACAUGAGGAGUUCCGUUCUUAGCAGAUUUUGAAGCAGGAGCAGAGCUGUGAGCUAAUGUCCCUCUUCCAUGCAGACACCUGAGAGUGACUGGCAGUUUCCAGACUGAGCAGGAUCGGCUGCCCCGUGAGGACUGAGAGUGAAGGGGACCGGCCGCAGGGGGAGGAUCAGGACCAGCCUAGAUGGGGGCUCCCAGGAGCCGAGAUAAGGACAUGCACAGGAAAGGAGCCGGGAAAAAGCCACGGGCUGUCUCUGUACGUGUCGGAGAGACUGUGUGCCAGGUGCACAAGAAGACAGUGACUUCACUUCCCAUGGACCUUGUACCCUGUCUCCCUCGGCCACCAACCUCUGCUCACCAGGCUUUUCGCCCCACUCUGACCAAAAUGGUCAAGUGUCUUUGGAGGAAAAGCUUUCUCCCCACCCUGUGACCAGCGCCCCCACACUGAGGCUAGAAGAGCCAGGGCAGGGGAGGGGGUGUCCUUGUGCAAACCUGCCAAUUCCAGGCACUCUCCAUCCACAUAGACAUCACAGGUGCUCACACUGGUCCUGGACCUGAGUUACAGGAUCAAAACAGAGAAAUUAAUAGCAAAACCGGUAAUAUUUCCACUCAGAUAGUGUUAAAAGUCUAUGGUCUUAUGGCAGAGUCUCUGAACCACUGUACCUGGAGAUGAAUAGCAUCUUUUAUUGGAUAUGCAGUUAUUUUAAGAAAUAUUUUUCAGUGCUGAGUACUUAUUCUGUGCUUGGUAGCAGCCCUGACUGGAGGCAGAUUCGGCCAGGAUGACUAAGGAUGUCACACAGCCACGGUGGGCAAGGACACUGCAGAAGGUAAUACGUGACAAACUGACGAUUCCUUAUCGCUAUUACUGGUAGUAUUAUUUCUACUCCUGCUGCUGUCAAAAAUCCAGAAACAGCUAAAUUAAAACCAUCAGGUCAACAAACUUAGUUAUUAGUAAGCGUUCAUUGUGCACAUAAGAGCUGUUCACAAACUGUGAGCUUUCGGAGUUCCAGUUGUGCCUCAGGGGUACGACAUCAAGCCACUGCACACUGCAGGAAGGAAAAAAAAAACUCGACUAGUAUCCAUGAGGACGCAGGUUCAAUCCCUGGCCUCAAUCACUGAGUUAAAGGUCUAGCGCUGCCGUGAGCUGUGGUGUAGGUCGCAGACGCAGCUCGGAUCUGGCAUUGCUAUGGCUGUGGUGUAGGCUGACGGCUACCGCCCUUAUCAGCCCCUAGCCAUACGUGGCAGGUGCAGCCCCAAAAAGUAAAACAAAACAAAACAAAAAACAAAACUGGGAGCUUUCAAACCAACAGUGGAAAGAAGCUCAGAGAUAU
RNAcentral lists this long non-coding RNA (2085 nucleotides) under Sus scrofa (pig). RNAcentral describes it as "lncRNA (ENSSSCG00040063120.1)". The record is from RNAcentral. Lineage: Eukaryota; Metazoa; Chordata; Mammalia; Artiodactyla; Suidae.